UAACUGAUGUGUUUUGGAUAGGGACACAGGGUGUAUAUUAGAUCAAACUAACUGAUGUGUUUUGGAUAGGGACACAGGGUGUAAAUCAGGUCAAACUAACUGAUGUGUUUUGGAUAGGGACACAGGGUGUAAAUCAGGUCAAACUAACUGAUGUGUUUUGGAUAGGGACACAGGGUGUAAAUCAGGUCAAACUAACUGAUGUGUUUUGGAUAGGGACACAGGGUGUAAAUCAGGUCAAACUAACUGAUGUGUUUUGGAUAGGGACACAGGGUGUAAAUCAGGUCAAACUAACUGAUGUGUUUUGGAUAGGGACACAGGGUGUAAAUCAGGUCAAACUAACUGAUGUGUUUUGGAUAGGGACACAGGGUGUAAAUCAGGUCAAACUAACUGAUGUGUUUUGGAUAGGGACACAGGGUGUAAAUCAGGUCAAACUAACUGAUGUGUUUUGGAUAGGGACACAGGGUGUAAAUCAGGUCAAACUAACUGAUGUGUUUUGGAUAGGG
Molecule: long non-coding RNA, 503 nt
Organism: Oncorhynchus keta (chum salmon)
Lineage: Eukaryota; Metazoa; Chordata; Actinopteri; Salmoniformes; Salmonidae
Exons: 3
Source: RefSeq, a predicted model, not a curated record